GUUUUCGGAUCGUAAAACUCUGUUGUAAGGGAAGAACACGUACGAGAGUAACUGCUCGUACCUUGACGGUACCUUAUUAGAAAGCCACGGCUAACUACGUGCCAGCAGCCGCGGUAAUACGUAGGUGGCAAGCGUUGUCCGGAAUUAUUGGGCGUAAAGCGCGCGCAGGCGGUUCUUUAAGUCUGAUGUGAAAGCCCACGGCUCAACCGUGGAGGGUCAUUGGAAACUGGAGAACUUGAGUACAGAAGAGGAAAGCGGAAUUCCACGUGUAGCGGUGAAAUGCGUAGAGAUGUGGAGGAACACCAGUGGCGAAGGCGGCUUUCUGGUCUGUAACUGACGCUGAGGCGCGAAAGCGUGGGGAGCAAACAGGAUUAGAUACCCUGGUAGUCCACGCCGUAAACGAUGAGUGCUAAGUGUUAGGGGGUUUCCGCCCCUUAGUGCUGCAGCUAACGCAUUAAGCACUCCGCCUG
Molecule: ribosomal RNA, 470 nt
Filed under: bacterium br10(2011)
Lineage: Bacteria
Description: SSU rRNA
Rfam family: Bacterial small subunit ribosomal RNA
Source: RNAcentral